This 31-nucleotide non-coding RNA is filed under the name Mus musculus (house mouse). Lineage: Eukaryota; Metazoa; Chordata; Mammalia; Rodentia; Muridae. The record is from RNAcentral.
UCAGCCAAAUUUCUAAUCCAUUCAUUUAUUG